Molecule: non-coding RNA, 92 nt
Organism: Mycena epipterygia
Lineage: Eukaryota; Fungi; Basidiomycota; Agaricomycetes; Agaricales; Mycenaceae
Source: the annotation of a GenBank genome assembly
GGCUUGGUGGUGUAGUGGCUACACGUCCUCAAAGAAUACGAAAUCAACUGCUCCUUCGAAGGAAGUCCCCGGUUCGAGUCUGGGUCAGGCCU